RNAcentral lists this ribosomal RNA (410 nucleotides) under uncultured bacterium. RNAcentral's name for it is "bacterial SSU rRNA". It matches the Rfam family "Bacterial small subunit ribosomal RNA", at positions 361 to 773 of the family's 1533-position model. The record is from RNAcentral.
AUAUUGCACAAUGGGGGAAACCCUGAUGCAGCGACGCCGCGUGAGUGAAGAAGUAUCUCGGUACGUAAAGCUCUAUCAGCAGGGAAGAAAAAAAGUCUUUGGCUUUGGACGGUAGCUGACUAAGUAGCCUCGGCUAACUACGUGCCUGCAGCCGCGGUAAUACGUAGGGGGCAAGCGUUAUCCGGAUUUACUGGGUGUAAAGGGAGCUUAGACGGCAGCGCAAGUCUGGAGUGAAAUGCCGGGGCUCAACCCCGGAACUGCUUGGGAAACUGUGCAGCUAGAGUGCGGGAGAGGUAAGCGGAAUUCCUAGUGUAGCGGUGAAAUGCGUAGAUAUUAGGAGGAACACCAGUGGCGAAGGCGGCUUGCUGGACCGUAACUGACGUUGAGGCUCGAAAGCGUGGGGAGCAAAC